This 29-nucleotide small RNA is filed under the name Bombyx mori (domestic silkworm). RNAcentral's name for it is "ovarian small RNA-26633". Lineage: Eukaryota; Metazoa; Arthropoda; Insecta; Lepidoptera; Bombycidae. The record is from RNAcentral.
UCCACAUCCGGAUCCCGGGCGAUUACGGC